This 445-nucleotide ribosomal RNA is filed under the name Cyclospora cayetanensis. RNAcentral describes it as "SSU rRNA". It matches the Rfam family "Eukaryotic small subunit ribosomal RNA", at positions 714 to 1083 of the family's 1831-position model. The record is from RNAcentral. Lineage: Eukaryota; Apicomplexa; Conoidasida; Eucoccidiorida; Eimeriidae.
GUGGAUUUCUGUCGUGGUCAUCCGGCCUUGCCCGUAGGGUGUGCGCCUGGGUUGCCCGCGGCUUUCUUCCGGUAGCCUUCCGCGCUUCGCUGCGUGCGUUGGUGUUCCGGAACUUUUACUUUGAGAAAAAUAGAGUGUUUCAAGCAGGCUUGUCGCCCUGAAUACUGCAGCAUGGAAUAAUAAGAUAGGACCUUGGUUCUAUUUUGUUGGUUUCUAGGACCGAGGUAAUGAUUAAUAGGGACAGUUGGGGGCAUUCGUAUUUAACUGUCAGAGGUGAAAUUCUUAGAUUUGUUAAAGACGAACUACUGCGAAAGCAUUUGCCAAGGAUGUUUUCAUUAAUCAAGAACGACAGUAGGGGGUUUGAAGACGAUUAGAUACCGUCGUAAUCUCUACCAUAAACUAUGCCGACUAGAGAUAGGGAAACGCCUACCUUGGAUAGCUCCUG